CAGCGGAGAGAACGAGAGGGCGAGAGAGAGGGAGGGGCGACGGGCGGUGGGCCUCGUCGGCCGACGGACCGAGGGCAGCGACCUGGAUCUGGCCGGUGGGCGAUGGGGGCGGCGGCCACCGACGUGAAAGCGACAGCCAGCCACGGGGAGGCGGCGGCCCGGUGUCGGGAGAGCGGCGGCCGGCGACGGGAGGCCAGGUAUGUCCACCGGGGGAGGGGAAGGAGAGGGAGAGAGAGAAGAAGAAGGCCGGGAGGGGCUCACCGGCGGCGAGGGGGGUGCUCAGAGUGGAAGAUGGCAGGGUGCUCGGAGGGAGAGAGCGGAUGGAGGUGAGGAUAGGGGUCUGCACUGUUCACCUUCUUAUAUAGAGAUGGAGACGGGGCUGCGUGGAGCGGGGCGCGAGGGGGCUGCACGGGGUGCGAGGCUGCAGCGCAGGACGUGAGAUAUGUCGUCGCGGCGCGGCGCGGCGCGGCGGCGGGGUCACGUGAAGGGGACGGGAGAGACGGAAGAGAGAGGAAAGGGAAAAAAAUUAGGGAAUUAACACAAGGCCUUCGACCUCGGCGGCCACCAGAUCGUGCACCGCAUCUAGAAGGAUUACUAUGCAUCGCGGGGACGACGUAGGCGUAGGGGUCAGUGCCGCCGCCACCACUGCAGGGCAACCGGAGCGGCCGGAUCCACGACGGGAGCGACAAAUCCACGAUGGGCUCGACCCGAUCAAUGGCGGGAGUGACCAGCCGUGUGGCGACAGGCAGCGCGAACCGCACCAGCUCGUGUGGCUGUGCUGGGAGGCAGGCUCGUGCGGUGUCUGACGGUGGAGUGUUGGUCUUUUUGAUGGAUCUCUGAAUUGCAUUGGUUUGUUUGUUUCAGGCAAUUCUGCACUGGUGAGCACAGGUAAGAUGCAUCUGGUUGUUGAUUAUUGGCCUUUGGGCUUAUGUAUGAGGCUAAUUCUGCAACGUUGACUUUAUCUUCAUCCAUUUAGUUUAGUAUGAAUUGGUAGUGGAUUUGCUAUUAUACUGGGCUUGGUUAUUUGAUCAGGAUACUAGAUUGUGCAGAAAGAAUGGGUAUACGGAAACGCAAAUGUGGAUUUGACAUAUUUUCUACUUCUGUUGCUGGUUAUGAUUGAAAAAAUGCUUUGCCACGGAGGUAUAAGGGUUGUCAGUUCCACAGAGUGAUCAAAGGUUUCAUGAUUCAAUGUGGUGACUUCUUGAAGCUAUGGAGCUAUCUUUUGUCAAUGCUUGGGGAGCAGAAGAACAAUAUUGGUACUCUGUAUUCUGUAGAACUAGUCAUUUUUAUUAUUUAUGUAAGCAUAGAGUGAAAAUUUUAUGUAACCAGAAUAUCUCUAAAUUGGAGCUGUCUUUUCCUAUUAGAGUCAUGAUGUAUUUUGAGGUUUUAGAACUUAAUAUGCAUGUAAAUAUGAACUUACAUUUUGGAUCUGGACCCAACACACAUUAGCGACGGGUCUAGAUUUGACCUGUUGUUAA
Molecule: long non-coding RNA, 1478 nt
Organism: Phragmites australis (common reed)
Lineage: Eukaryota; Viridiplantae; Streptophyta; Magnoliopsida; Poales; Poaceae
Exons: 3
Source: RefSeq, a predicted model, not a curated record